CAACUCGGCUGCACGAAGCCGGAAUCGCUAGUAAUCGCAGAUCAGCAUGCUGCGGUGAAUACGUUCCCGGGUCUUGUACACACCGCCCGUCACACCAUGGGAGCCGGGAAUGCCCGAAGUCAGCGGCCCAACCGAAAGGAGGGAGCUGCCGAAGGCAGGCCUGGUGACUGGGGUGAAGUCGUAACAAGGUAGC
RNAcentral lists this ribosomal RNA (193 nucleotides) under uncultured bacterium. RNAcentral's name for it is "partial 16S ribosomal RNA". It matches the Rfam family "Bacterial small subunit ribosomal RNA", at positions 1308 to 1500 of the family's 1533-position model. The record is from RNAcentral.